UACGAAGGGGGCUAGCGUUGCUCGGAAUUACUGGGCGUAAAGCGUGCGCAGGCGGUGAUGUAAGUCAGAUGUGAAAUCCCCGGGCUCAACCUGGGAACUGCAUUUGUGACUGCAUCGCUGGAGUACGGCAGAGGGGGAUGGAAUUCCGCGUGUAGCAGUGAAAUGCGUAGAUAUGCGGAGGAACACCGAUGGCGAAGGCAAUCCCCUGGGCCUGUACUGACGCUGAGGUGCGAAAGCGUGGGGAGCAAACAGG
RNAcentral lists this ribosomal RNA (253 nucleotides) under uncultured bacterium. RNAcentral describes it as "partial 16S ribosomal RNA". It matches the Rfam family "Bacterial small subunit ribosomal RNA", at positions 524 to 776 of the family's 1533-position model. The record is from RNAcentral.